CGACGUGAGUAACCUGCCUUUCAGAGGGGGAGUAACGUUCUGAAAAGAGCGCUAAUACCGCAUGAGACUACAGAGCUGCAUGGCUCAGUGGUCAAAGGAGCAAUCCGCUGAAAGAUGGACUCGCGUCCGAUUAGCUAGUUGGUGAGGUAAUGGCCCACCAAGGCAACGAUCGGUAGCCGGACUGAGAGGUUGAACGGCCACAUUGGGACUGAGACACGGCCCAGACUCCUACGGGAGGCAGCAUG
Molecule: ribosomal RNA, 245 nt
Filed under: uncultured bacterium
Lineage: Bacteria
Description: partial 16S ribosomal RNA
Rfam family: Bacterial small subunit ribosomal RNA
Source: RNAcentral